Molecule: signal recognition particle RNA, 261 nt
Filed under: Desulfobacca acetoxidans
Lineage: Bacteria; Pseudomonadati; Thermodesulfobacteriota; Desulfobaccia; Desulfobaccales; Desulfobaccaceae
Description: signal recognition particle sRNA large type
Rfam family: Bacterial large signal recognition particle RNA
About the family: The signal recognition particle (SRP) is a universally conserved ribonucleoprotein involved in the co-translational targeting of proteins to membranes.
Source: RNAcentral
UCGUGCUAGACGGGGAGCUAGCGGUGCCCUGUAACCCGAAAGCCGCUUAUGCGGGGUUGAAUUCCCUCCCGAGAGUAAAAGCGCAGUCCGGCGAGGCCGCCUAGCGGGCGGAUUGGCUCCCACGCAACAGACACUGGUGAACCCCGUCAGGUCCGGGAGGAAGCAGCGGUAAGCCAGGGAGGCUGUGUCGUGGCGUCAGCUAAUCCCACACCCCUUGGACCUGCCCCACGGACUGAGGCAGACCCGAAGGAGGGUGCACGG